RNAcentral lists this long non-coding RNA (1098 nucleotides) under Canis lupus familiaris (dog). RNAcentral's name for it is "lncRNA (ENSCAFG00000056247.1)". Lineage: Eukaryota; Metazoa; Chordata; Mammalia; Carnivora; Canidae. The record is from RNAcentral.
CUGGCUCCCCCCAAAAUAAGAAUAGAGCGAGAGAAUAAGCCUUCCGGGAGAAUUAGGAGCCCGCCCGCUCGGCCACCGUCUCGGGGCGGCAGCGAGGGGCUCCCGGGGGCCCCCGGUGCGUGCUGGCGGGGCCCGGGGCGCCCGGAGGACGCGGGCUCCGGCCCAUGGUGCUCGUCCGGCCGCCCGGCCGCCCGGCGUGGCGCUCGCUCUCUCGCUCGGCCCGGCUCGCGCGCUGGGCUCGCGGCAGGCCUGGCGCCGCCCGCCCGCCCGCCCGCCCGCCGGCUCGGCCCGAGCCGGGGCCGGGGCCGGGCCGGGGGCCCGGGGGCCCGGGGGCCCGGGGGCCCGGGCCGGGGGCUCGGGCCGCCCGGCUGCCGCCCGCGGCCUCUCCCUCCCCGAGCCGCGCUUACAUCCCCGCCGGGCGCCGGCCUCCCUGCGCCGCCAGCCAGUACAUGGUGUCCCCCGCGGGAGCCGAGGCCGGGGCGGCCGGACGGGGGGCCGGGAGGGGGGGGCGCCGCCGCCGCGGCUGCCGGGCCCGGAGCUGCUGCUGCCGCCGCCGCUGCCGCUGCUGCUGCUGCUGCUGCCCGGGAGGCGGCUGGCGGCGGAGGCUCGGCUCCCAGUAGCCGCACAUCCCACAAUACACCGCUAAGGAGCCCGACCCGAGCGCUCACCCUCCUCCUCUUCCUCCUCCUCCUCCUCUUCCUCCUCCCCUCUCCUUCCUCGCCGCUUCCCCAGGCACUCUCCCGGCGGCGGCAGCUGCGCCGCCAAAGCCCCGGGCCCCAGCGGCCCCCCACCCCUCACUCGCGCGCUCCCACACUGCCUCCCCCCUCCCCGGGGGAAGGCCUUUUAAUUUAUUUAUUCUGCUGGGACUUAGGUGGGGGGCUUGGCUGGCGGGGGAGGGGGGUCUCCUCCGGCUCUACCUCCCGCGGCUGGGGCUACCCUCCGAGCCGCGGUCGCCGCGGCGUGCGCCUGGGGCCUCCAAAACUGUUUCCAAACUGCCAAGACCGGAGGUGGGCGCGUGGGGGACCGGGGGAAAGGGCUGGGCUUUUUUUUGGGGGGGGGGGGGAUUGUGUGUUUAGACGCUGGGAACCGUGGGGGUAG